RNAcentral lists this ribosomal RNA (254 nucleotides) under uncultured bacterium. RNAcentral describes it as "partial 16S ribosomal RNA". It matches the Rfam family "Bacterial small subunit ribosomal RNA", at positions 524 to 776 of the family's 1533-position model. The record is from RNAcentral.
UACGUAGGCAGCGAGCGUUGUUCGGAGUUACUGGGCGUAAAGGGUGUGUAGGCGGUUAUUUAAGUUUGGUGUGAAAUCUCCCGGCUCAACCGGGAGGGUGCGCCGAAUACUGAAUGACUUGGAGUGCGGGAGAGGUGAGUGGAAUUCCUGGUGUAGCGGUGAAAUGCGUAGAUAUCAGGAGGAACACCGGUGGUGUAAACGGCUCACUGGACCGUAACUGACGCUGAGACACGAAAGCGUGGGUAGCAAACAGG